AGGGUAGUGAUGGAAUUGGUAGACAUGAAUAGUUUAGGUCUAUUUAAUCAUUAAGAUUAUAUCCGUUCAAGUCGGAUUUACCUUA
RNAcentral lists this transfer RNA (85 nucleotides) under Thelebolus microsporus. Its description in RNAcentral is "tRNA-Leu". The record is from RNAcentral. Lineage: Eukaryota; Fungi; Ascomycota; Leotiomycetes; Thelebolales; Thelebolaceae.